RNAcentral lists this ribosomal RNA (394 nucleotides) under Oithona sp. RNAcentral describes it as "partial small subunit ribosomal RNA". It matches the Rfam family "Eukaryotic small subunit ribosomal RNA", at positions 582 to 975 of the family's 1831-position model. The record is from RNAcentral. Lineage: Eukaryota; Metazoa; Arthropoda; Copepoda; Cyclopoida; Oithonidae.
AUUCCAGCUCCAAUAGCGUAUAUUAAAGUUGUUGUGGUUAAAAAGCUCGUAGUUGGAUCUCGGCGGUCUGAGGGCGGUUCGCUCUUCAGCGCUACUGCCCCGCUUUGCCCGUGUGUUUGGCGGAGGUUUCGGGGUGCUCUUCGUUGAGUGACUCGGAGCGCCGUCAGGUUUACUUUGAAAAAAUUAGAGUGCUCAAAGCAGGCUUUUCACGCUUGAAUAUUCGUGCAUGGAAUAAUGGAAUAGGAACUCGUUUCUAUUUUGUUGGUUUUCGGAAAUCGAGUUAAUGAUUAACAGGGACAAUUGGGGGCAUUAGUAUUCAGACGACAGAGGUGAAAUUCUUGGACCGUCUGAAGACUGACUACUGCGAAAGCAUUUGCCAAGAGUGUUUUCAUUA